This 1528-nucleotide long non-coding RNA is filed under the name Ananas comosus (pineapple). Its description in RNAcentral is "long non-coding RNA (ACOM_LNC043915)". The record is from RNAcentral. Lineage: Eukaryota; Viridiplantae; Streptophyta; Magnoliopsida; Poales; Bromeliaceae.
AUUUUACAUGCACCUACUUAGCAUUUUACAUUAUAUUAUCCACAUGCAUUAUUUACAUCAACUACGUGCAUCAUCCACAUGCUUAUUUACAUUUACAUGCAUCACCUACAUGCCUCGUUUAGCAUUUAUAUGCAUCAAUAUGGAUUCUUAAUUUUCUUAGACAUAAGGACGACCUAGUCGCUUCGGUAAGCACAACCCACCUUAACUUACUUUCCAAUUGCUUGUAGUCACUUGCAAUCGGCCGCUCGCGACACCCGCGACCCGGUUUGGCUCGAACUCUCGCGCGACCACCCAAACGAUCUCCGAUUUGCGAUCCGAAAAUUAAAGGUCUUUGGUUAUGUGCCACGGUGCUUCAAAUCCGUUUUCAUGAUUUUACGACGACGCCUCGGCCCUCCAGGCGGAAACGAAGCCUAAACGUCCGUUUCUUUAAUAACUUUGUAACGGCUCGUCGGAUUGCCGAACCGUCUUCGUCAACGCGUUUCGUUACCUAGCAAUUAGGUUUACGGAGGGUUAAUUAAGAUCAAACCCAACUAUUUCCAAAAAAUUACAUUUUGAACCCUAGGUUACGACUAUGCAAGAAAUCACCAAAUCCCUUCACGAAUUAAGCAUCAAUCAUCUAUAUAGCAUGCUAGGAUUCCUCUAAAUUCAUUUUUAGAGAUCAAAACCACAUAUCUAGAGAUCUACCAUGAGAGGGCUCAAAAAGCUCACCUCAAAACUUGCUUCAAACCAUGGAGAAGAUGGAGAAGAUGAAGGUGAUUCACUUCCAAGCUUCAAUCUCCACCAAAUCCAUCCAUUUUGGGAGAGAUUUAGAGAGAGAAAGGAGAGUUUCUCUCUCUCCCUCCAUGCGCGUGUGUGUGUGCGGUUUGGGGCUGCUGCGGCUGAGGAAGGAGAAGAAGAAAAGGGAUUAAAUCCCUUUUUACAACUUAGUCCCUCAACUAUGCACUAUUUACUUCGGGCAGUUUAGAAACUGACAUUUUUCGCCGGAGCCCUUCUGAAUGUCCAUUUGAGCUCAAAUUUGACAGGCACGCUCGGUUUUACUUAAUAAGUCCAAAGAAAUUUUAAUAUUUCAGUUUCGACCCCGUUUGGUCACCGAAAACUGUACCGACCUGUAAUCUUUAUCAGAUAGCUUUCGGAUUCUAUUUUUUCACCUUCCGAGUGUCAGAAUGGUAUGAAACUUUAAAUCUAGCCUCAUAAAAAUAUUUCUGAUUUCUCCGCCAAUUUUCAUAAUUUUCUGACACUGUGCAUUUUCUGCUAAUUUAUCUACCCCGUUUCUUACAGAAAAUUCUAAAUCUUCUGUUUUCGCUCCGAUUUCAGCACAGGUCAUUCCCAACUUAUAUUUCACUUAUCUAAAUCCAAUAAAAAUAGUAUCUUAUACUAUUUUUAUUUAUUUUCACUUUUAUAUUUAAAAUUCGGUAUGUUACGUUCCACCGCAACCUCACCGGAACCAUCUAAAUAUACACCGUAACUUCAUAGUUUUAGAAGUCCGGUACCUUAUAGUAUCUCUGCACAUAUAUAAUUUAUUCAUAUU